AACGAACGCUGGCGGCAGGCCUAACACAUGCAAGUCGAGCGCCCUUUCGGGGGAGCGGCGGCCGGGUGAGUAACGCGUGGGAAUAUGCCCUUCUCUACGGAAUAGCCUCGGGAAACUGAGAGUAAUACCGUAUACGCCCUGCGGGGGAAAGAUUUAUCGGGGAAGGAUUAGCCCGCGUUGGAUUAGGUAGUUGGUGGGGUAAUGGCCUACCAAGCCGACGAUCCAUAGCUGGUUUGAGAGGAUGAUCAGCCACACUGGGACUGAGACACGGCCCAGACUCCUACGGGAGGCAGCAGUGGGGAAUCUUAGACAAUGGGGGCAACCCUGAUCGAGCCAUGCCGCGUGAGUGAUGAAGGCCUUAGGGUUGUAAAGCUCUUUCAGCUGGGAAGAUAAUGACGGUACCAGCAGAAGAAGCCCCGGCUAACUCCGUG
RNAcentral lists this ribosomal RNA (431 nucleotides) under uncultured bacterium. Its description in RNAcentral is "partial 16S ribosomal RNA". It matches the Rfam family "Bacterial small subunit ribosomal RNA", at positions 29 to 507 of the family's 1533-position model. The record is from RNAcentral.